This 306-nucleotide ribosomal RNA is filed under the name Clostridioides difficile. RNAcentral describes it as "bacterial LSU rRNA". It matches the Rfam family "Bacterial large subunit ribosomal RNA", at positions 2232 to 2536 of the family's 2925-position model. The record is from RNAcentral. Lineage: Bacteria; Bacillati; Bacillota; Clostridia; Peptostreptococcales; Peptostreptococcaceae.
GCCAUGAAUCUGGUCUUGGGACACUGUCAGGUGGGCAGUUUGACUGGGGCGGUCGCCUCCCAAAAGGUAACGGAGGCGCUCAAAGGUUCUCUCAGUACGGUCGGAAAUCGUACGUAGAGUGUAAAGGAAAAAGAGAGCUUGAUUGCAAGACAUACAGGUCGAGCAAGGAUGAAAAUCGGACUUAGUGAUCCGGUGGGUCUGCGUGGAAGGGCCAUCGCUCAACGGAUAAAAGCUACCCUGGGGAUAACAGGCUUAUCUCCCCCAAGAGUCCACAUCGACGGGGAGGUUUGGCACCUCGAUGUCGGC